RNAcentral lists this ribosomal RNA (881 nucleotides) under uncultured bacterium. RNAcentral's name for it is "bacterial SSU rRNA". It matches the Rfam family "Bacterial small subunit ribosomal RNA", at positions 31 to 895 of the family's 1533-position model. The record is from RNAcentral.
GAACGCUGGCGGCGUGCCUAAUACAUGCAAGUACGAACGCUGAAGGAGAAGCUUGCUUCUCUGGAUGAGUUGCGAACGGGUGAGUAACGCGUAGGUAACCUGCCUGGUAGCGGGGGAUAACUAUUGGAGACGAUAGCUAAUACCGCAUAAGAGUAGAUGUUGCAUGACAUUUACUUAAAAGGUGCAAAUGCAUCACUACCAGAUGGACCUGCGUUGUAUUAGCUAGUUGGUGGGGUAACGGCUCACCAAGGCAACGAUACAUAGCCGACCUGAGAGGGUGAUCGGCCACACUGGGACUGAGACACGGCCCAGACCCCUACGGGAGGCAGCAGUAGGGAAUCUUCGGCAAUGGACGGAAGUCUGACCGAGCAACGCCGCGUGAGUGAAGAAGGUUUUCGGAUCGUAAAGCUCUGUUGUAAGAGAAGAACGAGUGUGAGAGUGGAAAGUUCACACUGUGACGGUAUCUUACCAGAAAGGGACGGCUAACUACGUGCCAGCAGCCGCGGUAAUACGUAGGUCCCGAGCGUUGUCCGGACUUAUUGGGCGUAAAGCGAGCGCAGGCGGUUAGAUAAGUCUGAAGUUAAAGGCUGUGGCUUAACCAUAGUACGCUUUGGAAACUGUUUAACUUGAGUGCAAGAGGGGAGAGUGGAAUUCCAUGUGUAGCGGUGAAAUGCGUAGAUAUAUGGAGGAACACCGGUGGCGAAAGCGGCUCUCUGGCUUGUAACUGACGCUGAGGCUCGAAAGCGUGGGGAGCAAACAGGAUUAGAUACCCUGGUAGUCCACGCCGUAAACGAUGAGUGCUAGGUGUUAGACCCUUUCCGGGGCUUAGUGCCGCAGCUAACGCAUUAAGCACUCCGCCUGGGGAGUACGACCGCAAGGUG